RNAcentral lists this unclassified non-coding RNA (345 nucleotides) under soil metagenome. RNAcentral describes it as "partial contains 5.8S ribosomal RNA, internal transcribed spacer 2, and large subunit ribosomal RNA". The stretch from base 1 to 121 matches the Rfam family "5.8S ribosomal RNA", at positions 35 to 154 of the family's 154-position model. The record is from RNAcentral.
GAUGAAGAACGUAGUGAAAUGAGAUAAGUAAUGCGAAUUGCAGAAUUUCCGUGAGUCAUCGAAUCUUUGAACGCACAUUGCGCCCACUGGUAUUCCGGUGGGCAUGCCUGUUCGAGCGUCAUUAUCCUCCCUCAAACCCCGGGUUUGGUGUUGGACCCAAGUUGUGUGAACAACUGGUCUCAAAGACAAUGACGGCGUCCGUGGGACCCUCGGUGCAACGAGCUUUUAGGAGCACGCGCCGAGUUGCAAGGACCUUCCGGGCCGGUCUCCUUUACUAUUUUACAAGGUUGACCUCGGAUCAGGUAGGAAUACCCGCUGAACUUAAGCAUAUCAAUAAGCGGAGGA